Molecule: long non-coding RNA, 1085 nt
Organism: Vicia villosa (hairy vetch)
Lineage: Eukaryota; Viridiplantae; Streptophyta; Magnoliopsida; Fabales; Fabaceae
Exons: 3
Source: RefSeq, a predicted model, not a curated record
UAUUAUUUAAGAUGCGAAGAUUUUUUAUUAUUCACAUGCUCUUUGUCUAUUGUUUUCAUGUUUAUACAUAUAGUAAUUACUAAUUUUAUCAACAGGGUAACCAAAUCCAUGUCGUUAGCGUGUAUGGAAGCAAACUUUACAAGAGCAUCAUGUAAAGCCUAUGCUAAAAGAUCUCCUAUUGAAAGUCUGUAACAAUAGCCUCAAACUUUUUAUCAAUUCUAGCACUGUUAUCACUGCCAUGGACAUACCAAAAAUUCCACAUCACAACUUCAAUUUCAAGCCAUUUGGAGAUUUCUUAAACGAGGAUUUUGAAGUCGAUCGCUUAUAUGGUCAUUGACAUAUAGGGGCCUCAAAGUAUUUCAAGAUAUUACAAUAUAUUGCAGAAAUUGUCUGGUUUGAGCGUCGCCCCAUCCAUAUAUGAGGGCAAUUGUAUGGGCAUGUGUGGUAUUUGGUUGCAAGGAAAUCGAUUUGGGAAUGGAUGGCCUAUUCUUAACUGUUUUGGGAACUUGGGAGAGAACAUUAUUAAGGAAGAAGUGAGGGACCUUUUCACUGGGUAUGUGCAUCUUAUCCUUUCACACAGGCUUUACUGUUAAGUCUAUGUAGUAUUUUCUAUAUUGUCUCAUGUAUGUGAUUAAUCUGUUGAACUUGGCUUUCUAAUGCAGACAAUCUGGUUUUAAGCAAAUGAAUAUUUUAAGGCAUGAGAGGCAUACCGUCUGCUUCAUUGAGUUUAAAGUCUGUAAACUUUUGUUCACAUUUGUGUUUUUUAUUGUCUGAAAAAUCAUUUUUUGCAUUGUGUUUCUGUAAACUUUAAUACUUGUCUUGUGUUUGCAUUCAAACUUUCCUCAGUUUGGUAUUCAAUAACGUAUUGCAGGAUGUGAAGCUCUAUUUUCUUGAUUAUUUUUCAACUCAUGUUCAUUCCAUAACUAACCCAGCAUCUAGGCGUUUUAUGACGACGAAAUACAUUGGAAGUUUUUGCUUAAAUGCUUCGCACUUAUUCCUAUUCACCAUGUAUGUUUGCUUUGGUCUUUUAAUGUAACCAUGGGUGUAUUUCGUUUGGUUUUUAAUGGGUUUUCUUGAAAUUUGUA